Molecule: ribosomal RNA, 253 nt
Filed under: uncultured bacterium
Lineage: Bacteria
Description: partial 16S ribosomal RNA
Rfam family: Bacterial small subunit ribosomal RNA
Source: RNAcentral
UACGUAGGGUGCGAGCGUUACUCGGAAUUACUGGGCGUAAAGCGUGCGCAGGCGGUUCGCAAAGUCUGAUGUGAAAGCCCCGGGCUCAACCUGGGAACUGCAUUGGAAACUAACGGGCUCGAGUGUGGCAGAGGGGGGUGGAAUUCCACGUGUAGCAGUGAAAUGCGUAGAGAUGUGGAGGAACACCGAUGGCGAAGGCAGCCCCCUGGGCUAACACUGACGCUCAGGCACGAAAGCGUGGGGAGCAAACAGG